GCCUCCUGCAUGCUCUCCACUGGAGAUGGAGCCCGCUACCCAGGCAUGUGCCCUUGGCGAGAGUCAACCUGGGGGCCCUUCAGUCCCCAGGCUGAUGCUCUGUCUACUGAGCCAAGCCGGCUAGGGCAGGACCUGAUAUUUUGGGGGGGCCACUGUUAAGCCUACUACACUGCUCUUGUACCAGAUUCUCUUUUUAAUCCACAGUGUAGACACGCUGUUAUUGGUUUUGGAGAGAGGGAGAAAGAAACAUCAAUGUGAGAGUGAAAUAUUGAUUUGUUGCCUCCUUUACAUGCCCCAACUGGGAUCAAACCCACAACCUGGGUAUGUGCCUUGACUAGUAAUCAAACUCUCAACAUUUCAGUAUAUGGAACGACACUGCCACCAGCUGAGCCACACUGGUAGGCAGCAGUUAAUUUAUUGUCAUUAAAUUUGAUGCGCGACAUACAGAUUUCUCAUCGUUGAGCAAAUUGUUAAUUGGAUUAAAAUUUCUCAGCUUUAGCACUACUUUUAAAUUUAAACUACAUCAUUAAUAUUUUUCCACCUAUUAAAAUUUUUUAAAAAUGAUUUUAGAGGAAAGGAGAGAGAGAAACAUCAAUUGGUUGCCUCCUGCAUGGGCCCCAACUGGGUAUCCAACCCGAAACCUGGGCAUGUUCCCUGACUGGAAACCAAACCAGCCACCUUUUGGUGUUUGGGAUGAGCCUCCAGCCGUCUGAACCAGCCCAGCCAGAUUCCACCUGUUUCUUCAGUCUAGACCUGUGCUGUCCACUGUGGCAGCCAUUGGAUAAUUUGCCUGUUGGAACACUUGAGAUGUGGCUAGUUUGAACUCAGAUGUGCUUUAAGUGUAAAAUAAACACCAGAAUUUGAAGAGUUAGUAAUGAAAAAAAAAAAAUGUAAAAGAUAUCCUUAGUUACUUUAUAUUGAUUACAUGUUGAAAUAGUAUUUUGGACAUACCAGGUUAAAUAAAAUAUACUAUUUAAAUUAA
This is a long non-coding RNA of Pipistrellus kuhlii (Kuhl's pipistrelle), 982 nucleotides long. RefSeq lists it as uncharacterized. The record is from RefSeq and is a predicted model, not a curated record. The transcript has 2 exons. Lineage: Eukaryota; Metazoa; Chordata; Mammalia; Chiroptera; Vespertilionidae.